Triticum dicoccoides is the source of this 883-nucleotide long non-coding RNA. RefSeq lists it as uncharacterized. The transcript has 2 exons. The record is from RefSeq and is a predicted model, not a curated record. NCBI's taxonomy places the organism in Eukaryota, Viridiplantae, Streptophyta, Magnoliopsida, Poales, Poaceae.
ACUUGAGUAUACAUGAAAGUAUAAGCACCAUGAUUUAUUCAGAUGUUUGACACUUGACAGUAUCCGAGAUGCCGCAACAAGGUCUGGUGGUGUUUUACAAUGUUGCCAUUUCUUCAAUUUGCAAAAAAUGGGAAACUGAUCGUGCCAUUGAUUUAUUUCGCCCACAUGGUGUUGAUUAUUUCAUAAUUCAUCAUUUUUAUUAACAUAUUCAUGUGAAGUGUAAUCUUGAAUGUUGCAGACUAUACCAUCUGAAAUGUCCUUUAUUAAUAACUGUUGGAGUGUAUAUCCUUCGUUAGAGUGAGUACGAAAAACUGAACCAAAGAGGGAAUGUAAUGUUGCCAGCGAGGAUGGGAUUCUUAUGCCUCAGGUUUCCGUUUGUAUCAUUGAGACUUGAGAGUAGAUUGUAGGGUAAUACAUUCUACAUGCAUGUGUGUUGUAGUUGUAGCAAGUUAGACAAGGUACCCCGCUAAUGCCGAGAGUAUGGAGCCGACGAAGGCUAUCAACAACAAGCUCCAGGAGGAGAAUGGUCUAACCUAUAGCCCAGAUCAGGUUCUAGCAUCCAAUGGAGCUAAGCAGUGCAUUACACAAGCUAUGCUUGCUCUUUUCUCACGUGGUGAUGUGGCAAAGUUAUCAUCCUUGUACAUUGAUUUUUUAGGACAAAUACUUUUCAUACUAGCUUAGACAAUACCAUGAAAAUAGUAGCACCAAGUGGUUAUCAUGUACUCCUUUUGUUGUCCCCAGUUCUUAAAAGUUAGCAGAUUGCUUAUAAAUGUAUUGUAGCACAUUUGGUUGUGAUGAUGCAGGUCUAGAAAUAGUUCUGAACAUAAGCACUAGAAAAUAUUUUUGUUGCGAUGACCGUAUAAGCAAAUAAUGUGUAUCUCCA